GAUGAACGCUGGCGGCGUGCCUAAUACAUGCAAGUCGAGCGAACGGACGAGAAGCUUGCUUUUCUGAUGUUAGCGGCGGACGGGUGAGUAACACGUGGAUAACCUACCUAUAAGACUGGGAUAACUUCGGGAAACCGGAGCUAAUACCGGAUAAUAUUUUGAACCGCAUGGUUCAAAAGUGAAAGACGGUCUUGCUGUCACUUCUAGCUGGAUCCGCGCUGCAUUAGCUAGUUGGUAAGGUAACGGCUUACCAAGGCAACGAUGCAUAGCCGACCUGAGAGGGUGAUCGGCCACACUGGAACUGAGACGCGGACCAGGCGCCUACGGGAGGCAGCAGAAGGGAAUCGUCCGCAAUAGGCGAAAGCCUGGCGGAGCAACGCCGCGUGAGUGAUGAAGGUGUUGGGAGCGUAAAACUCUGUUAUUAGGGGAGAACAGAUGUGGAAGGAACUGUGCACAGCUUGACGGUAACGAAUCAGAAAGCCACGGCUAACUACGUG
This 497-nucleotide ribosomal RNA is filed under the name uncultured bacterium. Its description in RNAcentral is "partial 16S ribosomal RNA". It matches the Rfam family "Bacterial small subunit ribosomal RNA", at positions 28 to 507 of the family's 1533-position model. The record is from RNAcentral.